GACGAACGCUGGCGGCGUGCUUAACACAUGCAAGUCGAACGGAAAGGCCCUGCUUUUGUGGGGUGCUCGAGUGGCGAACGGGUGAGUAACACGUGAGUAACCUGCCCUUGACUUUGGGAUAACUUCAGGAAACUGGGGCUAAUACCGGAUAGGAGCUCCUGCUGCAUGGGGGGGGUUGGAAAGUUUCGGCGGUUGGGGAUGGACUCGCGGCUUAUCAGCUUGUUGGUGGGGUAGUGGCUUACCAAGGCUUUGACGGGUAGCCGGCCUGAGAGGGUGACCGGACACAUUGGGACGGAAAUACGGCCCAUACUCCAACGGGAGGCAGCAGUGGGGAAUGUUGCACAAUGGGCGGAAGCCUGAUGCAGAAACGCCGCGUGCGGGAUGACGGUCUUCGGGUUGUAACCCGCUUCCGCCUGUGACGAAGCGUGAGUGACGGUAAUGGGUAAAGAAGCACCGGCUAACUACGUG
This 468-nucleotide ribosomal RNA is filed under the name uncultured bacterium. Its description in RNAcentral is "partial 16S ribosomal RNA". It matches the Rfam family "Bacterial small subunit ribosomal RNA", at positions 28 to 507 of the family's 1533-position model. The record is from RNAcentral.